UUGUUAAGCGUCCAACUGCAUUAGGCUUUAAAAUACCAAGGUAUCUAGCGAGUUCUGCUUCCUUAACCAUACCAAUUGCAACACACUCUCCAUGAAGGAUUUGUGGGUACAAAAUUGCUUCAUAAGCAUGACCAAUAGAAUGACCAAAGUUUAAAAGGUUACGGAGACCACCCUCAUGUUCGUCAAGCGUAACUACUUCACACUUAGUACGAAUUGAGGAAAGAAUAAUUUUUUGCAAAAGCGGUUUGAUACUAUCAAACUUGUAUUCUCCUGGAACGGAAGGUUUGUUCAAGGCAUCCAAUAAAACAGCGGAAUUGUUUUCAAGUAAUUGAAAAUCAUUUUCGUUCCACAUAGCAGCUGUUUUUAUAAUUUCGGA
Schizosaccharomyces pombe (fission yeast) is the source of this 376-nucleotide non-coding RNA. NCBI's taxonomy places the organism in Eukaryota, Fungi, Ascomycota, Schizosaccharomycetes, Schizosaccharomycetales, Schizosaccharomycetaceae. The record is from the annotation of a GenBank genome assembly.